GGCUUAGAAGCAGCCAUCCUUGAAAGAGUGCGUAAUAGCUCACUGGUCAAGUGGUGAUGCGCCGACAAUGUAGCGGGGCUUAAGCACACCGCCGAAACUGUGGCGCCUUUCCGUGGAGGAAAGGUGGGUAGGGGAGCGUCCUGCGUGGGGUGAAGCUUGCGCGUGAGCGGGGGUGGACUGCGUGGGAGUGAGAAUGCAGGCAUGAGUAACGAAUGACGGGUGAGAAUCCCGUCCGCCGAUUGACUAAGGGUUCCAGGGCCAGGUUGAUCCGCCCUGGGUUAGUCGGGUCCUAAGGCGAGGCCGUCAGGCGUAGUCGAUGGGCAACGGGUUGACAUUCCCGUACCGGACGGCGGCCGUCCGAUGUCUGCUGGGUGGGGCGUUGUCGUCCCUGUGCGUUCUUUCCGCGCCUUUCGGGGUGUGGGGGGCGUGCGGGCGCGGGGCGUGCCUGUCUGGUGUGGCAAGCGUGGUAACAGGUGUGACGCAGUGAGGUAGCCCGUCCGUGUCUUAUGGCUUGGCACGGCCAAGGGUGUGGCCCGCCGCCGAGGCAAAUCCCGGCGGCUUGUGGGUGAGGCCUGAUGGGGACCGUUGAUGGGAAGCGGGUGAUCCUGUGCUGCCGAGAAAAGCAUCGACGCGAGGCCGUUGUCCGCCCGUACCCGAAACCGACACAGGUGGUCAGGUAGAGUAUACCGAGGCGUUCGAGUGACUCGUGGUCAAGGAACUCGGCAAAAUGCCCCCGUAACUUCGGGAGAAGGGGGGCCCUGAGCGUGAUCUGCCCGUGCGGUGGGGAGCGUGUAGGGGUCGCAGAGACCAGGGGGAAGCGACUGUUUAUCAAAAACACAGGUCCGUGCGAAGUCGUAAGACGAGGUAUACGGACUGACUCCUGCCCGGUGCUGGAAGGUUAAGAGGAUUGGUUAGCCCUGUGUGGGCGAAGCUGAGAAUUUAAGCCCCAGUAAACGGCGGUGGUAACUAUAACCAUCCUAAGGUAGCGAAAUUCCUUGUCGGGUAAGUUCCGACCUGCACGAAUGGCGUAACGACUUCUCCGCUGUCUCAACCAUGAACUCGGUGAAAUUGCAGUACGAGUAAAGAUGCUCGUUUCGCGCAGCAGGACGGAAAGACCCCGUGACCUUUACUAUAGUUUGGUAUUGGUGUUUGGGUUGGCUUGUGUAGGAUAGGUGGGAGACUGUGAAGCUGUCACGCUAGUGGUGGUGGAGUCGUUGUUGAAAUACCACUCUGGUCAAUCUGGAUGUCUAACUUCGGGCCAUGAUCUGGUUCAGGGACAGUGCCUGAUGGGUAGUUUAACUGGGGCGGUUGCCUCCUAAAGUGUAACGGAGGCGCCCAAAGGUUCCCUCAGCCUGGUUGGCAAUCAGGUGUUGAGUGUAAGUGCACAAGGGAGCUUGACUGUGAGAGUGGCGACUCGAGCAGGGACGAAAGUCGGGACUAGUGAUCCGGCAGUGGCUUGUGGAAGCGCUGUCGCUCAACGGAUAAAAGGUACCUCGGGGAUAACAGGCUGAUCUUGCCCAAGAGUCCAUAUCGACGGCAUGGUUUGGCA
This 1549-nucleotide ribosomal RNA is filed under the name human oral metagenome. RNAcentral's name for it is "bacterial LSU rRNA". It matches the Rfam family "Bacterial large subunit ribosomal RNA", at positions 1103 to 2523 of the family's 2925-position model. The record is from RNAcentral.